This 321-nucleotide ribosomal RNA is filed under the name uncultured bacterium. RNAcentral describes it as "bacterial SSU rRNA". It matches the Rfam family "Bacterial small subunit ribosomal RNA", at positions 1051 to 1378 of the family's 1533-position model. The record is from RNAcentral.
GUCGUCAGCUCGUGUCGUGAGAUGUUGGGUUAAGUCCCGCAACGAGCGCAACCCUUGUCAUUAGUUGCUACGAAAGGGCACUCUAAUGAGACUGCCGGUGACAAACCGGAGGAAGGUGGGGAUGACGUCAGGUCAUCAUGGCCCUUAUGGGUAGGGCUACACACGUCAUACAAUGGCCGGGACAGAGGGCUGCCAACCCGCGAGGGGGAGCUAAUCCCAGAAACCCGGUCGUAGUCCGGAUCGUAGUCUGCAACUCGACUGCGUGAAGUCGGAAUCGCUAGUAAUCGCGGAUCAGCUUGCCGCGGUGAAUACGUUCCCGGG